UACGUAGGUGGCAAGCGUUGUCCGGAUUUACUGGGCGUAAAGAGCGCGCAGGCGGUCGUUCAAGUCGCGUGUGAAGGCCCCCGGCUCAACUGGGGAGGGUCACGCGAUACUGAUCGACUCGAAGGCAGGAGAGGGUAGUGGAAUUCCCGGUGUAGUGGUGAAAUGCGUAGAUAUCUGGAGGAACACCGGUGGCGAAGGCGGCAUCCUGGACCGGUAUUGACGCUGAUGAGCGAAAGCCAGGGGAGCAAACGGG
Molecule: ribosomal RNA, 253 nt
Filed under: uncultured bacterium
Lineage: Bacteria
Description: partial 16S ribosomal RNA
Rfam family: Bacterial small subunit ribosomal RNA
Source: RNAcentral